Molecule: long non-coding RNA, 441 nt
Organism: Onthophagus taurus
Lineage: Eukaryota; Metazoa; Arthropoda; Insecta; Coleoptera; Scarabaeidae
Source: RefSeq, a predicted model, not a curated record
AUUACUUUUUAUAAACAUAUUAAAAACCAUGAAAAUUACUAAAAUAGUAUUAUUCUUGUUAGUUGUAGCAGUCUUGGAAUGUACAGCAAACAAUUUUCAAAAUAUCUUCAGUACUGAGUCAAGUAAUAACGUCAAUGGUAUUUCAGAAGUUAUAGAUACAUCUUUUGAUGUCACAAAUCAAAUAGCAUCAACCAUACAAGAAAUAAUACAAAGAAUUUAUUCCACAUUAAGUGAAAUUUUGAUUUAUACGAUUAAAACCAUCCAAGCAACUGGUGGUUCUGCUACUGAAAUGGUUCGAGAAAUAAUCAACAGUGAAGUUAAUUUUUUCAAAAGUAUUUUCCAAAUGGUUCAAGAUGGAUUCGAUAACAUCUAACAAUAUAUGUAUAUAAGAUAACAAUAAAUGUUAUUAAUCAUAUUGGAGAAUAAAAUAAGUUCGUUUAA